GCUACGGGUGGCAGCAGUGGGGGAUAUUGCACAAUGGGGGGAACCCUGAUGCAGCGACGCCGCGUGGGGGAAGAAGGGCCUCGGCGCGGAAAGCCCUGUCAGCAGGGAAGAAAAUGACGGUACCUGAAGAAGAAGCCACGGCUAACUACGUGCCAGCAGCCGCGGUAACAAGGCGGGGGCAAGCGUUAUCCGGAUGUACGGGGCGUAAAGGGGGCGCAGGAGGCGUUGCAAGCCAGGAGUGAAAGCACGGGGCCCAACCCCGGUACUGCUCGUGGAACUGCGUGGCUGGAGUGCAGGAGGGGCAGGCGGAAUUCCUGGUGUAGCGGUGAAAUGCGUAGAUAUCAGGAAGAACACCGGUGGCGAAGGCGGCCUGCUGGACUGCAACUGACGUUGAGGCCCGAAAGGGUGGGGAGCAAACAGGAUUAGAUACCCUGGUAGUC
This 440-nucleotide ribosomal RNA is filed under the name uncultured bacterium. Its description in RNAcentral is "partial 16S ribosomal RNA". It matches the Rfam family "Bacterial small subunit ribosomal RNA", at positions 338 to 795 of the family's 1533-position model. The record is from RNAcentral.